AUGUGUGUACUAUCGCCAUGGUGGGGUGAGGAAGUUAUCCUGUGCUUGUAUGUCGAUGACAUACUGAUUUUCGGAACAAAUCUGAAAGUUAUUAAGCAGGUCAAGGAUUUCCUAUCUCGUUGUUUUGAGAUGAAGGAUUUAGGAGUGGCUGAUGUCAUUCUGAACAUCAAGUUGUUGAGAGACGAUGAUGGUGGGAUUACUUUGCUUCAAUCUCACUAUGUGGAAAAGAUCUUGAGUCGCUUUGGCUAUAGUGACUGCAAGCCCUCUCCAACACCAUAUGAUGCUACCAGUGCUACAAGACCUGACAUCUCUUUUGCUGUUAGCAAACUGAGUCGGUUUGUUUCAAAACCAGGAGAUGUGCAUUGGAAAGCUCUAGAAAGAGUUUUGCGUUAUUUGAAAGGCACUGCAAAUUAUGGAAUUCACUACACCGGGCAUCCAAAGGUGCUUGAAGGGUAUAGUGACUCAAACUGGAUCUCAGAUGCUGAUGAGAUAAAGGCCACGAGCGGUUAUGUAUUCACUCAUGGAGGUGGCGCUGUUUCUUGGAAGUCUUGCAAGCAGACCAUCUUAACGAGGUCAACAAUGGAAGCAGAACUCACAGCACUAGAUACAGCUACGGUCGAAGAAGAUUGGCUUCGUCGGCUCUUGAAUGACUUACCGGUUGUUGAGAAACCUGUACCGGGUAUCCUUAUGAACUGCGACAAUCAAACUGUGAUCACAAAGUGA
This 723-nucleotide ribosomal RNA is filed under the name Triticum aestivum (bread wheat). RNAcentral describes it as "partial small subunit ribosomal RNA". Lineage: Eukaryota; Viridiplantae; Streptophyta; Magnoliopsida; Poales; Poaceae. The record is from RNAcentral.